AGUGAGCGCUGGCGGUAGGCCUAACACAUGCCAGUCGAACGGCAGCACAGUAAGAGCUUGCUCUUACGGGUGGCGAGUGGCGGACGGGUGAGGAAUACAUCGGAAUCUACUUUUUCGUGGGGGAUAACGUAGGGAAACUUACGCUAAUACCGCAUACGACCUACGGGUGAAAGCAGGGGAUCUUCGGACCUUGCGCGAUUGAAUGAGCCGAUGUCGGAUUAGCUAGUUGGCGGGGUAAAGGCCCACCAAGGCGACGAUCCGUAGCUGGUCUGAGAGGAUGAUCGGCCACACUGGAACUGAGACACGGUCCAGACUCCUACGGGAGGCAGCAGUGGGGAAUAUUGGACAAUGGGCGCAAGCCUGAUCCAGCCAUACCGCGUGGGUGAAGAAGGCCUUCGGGUUGUAAAGCCCUUUUGUUGGGAAAGAAAAGCAGCGGGUUAAUACCCCGCUGUUCUGGCGGUACCCAAAGAAUAAGCACCGGCUAACUUCGUG
RNAcentral lists this ribosomal RNA (492 nucleotides) under uncultured bacterium. RNAcentral describes it as "partial 16S ribosomal RNA". It matches the Rfam family "Bacterial small subunit ribosomal RNA", at positions 29 to 507 of the family's 1533-position model. The record is from RNAcentral.